RNAcentral lists this ribosomal RNA (250 nucleotides) under uncultured bacterium. RNAcentral describes it as "partial 16S ribosomal RNA". It matches the Rfam family "Bacterial small subunit ribosomal RNA", at positions 524 to 771 of the family's 1533-position model. The record is from RNAcentral.
UACGGGGGGGGCAAGCGUUGUUCGGAAUUACUGGGCGUAAAGGGCGCGUAGGCGGCCUUCUAAGUCGGACGUGAAAUCCCUCGGCUUAACCGAGGAACUGCGUCCGAUACUGGCAGGCUUGAAUCCGGGAGAGGGAUGCGGAAUUCCAGGUGUAGCGGUGAAAUGCGUAGAUAUCUGGAGGAACACCGGUGGCGAAGGCGGCAUCCUGGACCGGCAUUGACGGCUGGAUGAGCGAAAGCUAGGGGAGCAA